This 497-nucleotide ribosomal RNA is filed under the name uncultured bacterium. Its description in RNAcentral is "partial 16S ribosomal RNA". It matches the Rfam family "Bacterial small subunit ribosomal RNA", at positions 28 to 507 of the family's 1533-position model. The record is from RNAcentral.
GAUGAACGCUGGCGGCGUGCCUAAUACAUGCAAGUCGAGCGAACAGACGAGGAGCUUGCUCCUCUGACGUUAGCGGCGGACGGGUGAGUAACACGUGGAUAACCUACCUAUAAGACUGGGAUAACUUCGGGAAACCGGAUCUAAUACCGGAUAAUAUAUUGAACCGCAUGGUUCAAUAGUGAAAGACGGUUUUGCUGUCACUUAUAGAUGGAUCCGCGCCGCAUUAGCUAGUUGGUAAGGUAACGGCUUACCAAGGCAACGAUGCGUAGCCGACCUGAGAGGGUGAUCAGCCACACUGGAACUGAGACACGGUCCAGACUCCUACGGGAGGCAGCAGUAGGGAAUCUUGCGCAAUGGGCGAAAGCCUGACCGAGCAACGCCGCGUGAGUGAAGAAGGUCUUCGGAUCGUAAAACUCUUUUAGUAGGGAAGAACAAAUGUGUAAGUAACUAUGCACGUCUUGACGGUACCUAAUCAGAAAGCCACGGCUAACUACGUG